AGUCCUCUGAUCUUGCAGUGGGUACUCCUCCUCAGUAUAGAAGGCAAAGAUGUGCUUCCCUGUAAAGCCCAAACAAAGCAGAAGGAAGGCAGAAUGAGCCAGACACUGACGAAUGGGGCGCCUGCAAGCAUGCUGAUGUGUGUGUGUCUGUAUGCGCACACCCCUGUGCAUGUAUAUGUGAGAGGGAGACAAGAGAGACAUUUGCAGCAAAGUCAAGGGAGGCCUUGGUCAGUAGCAUGCGCAUGGCUGAUGUCCUGACAACCAAAACAAAGCCGUUUGUGUGAAGUGGAGGUCAGCAAAAGAAGAGAUGAUGCGCCCUCAGUCACCAUUUCCUUCCUUCGCACAUACACAGAUUGUAUUUUUAGAGCUACAGCAGAUUCUUUUUCAUGUUUGGUUUGUUUGAUCUAUAUAUAAACCCCAUGUCACUCUUUUGCAGAGGAAGAAGGAGGCAGGUAGAGGAGGGGAGGAGGUGCCUCUCUCGAUAGAGGGAACAAAGGGGAGCAAGAUGUGAAAGAAAAACAAAAACAACUGAAAAAGAGGGAGACACAGAGGGAAAAAUCACGGGCUGGACAAAGACGAUGUCCACCCCCACACUAGCGGCCCUUGCUGCCAAUUCGCUGAAGGAGAGAACAGCUGCUGGGCUACUGGGUGAGCUGUGAGAUGGUCAAGGGGAGUGCUGCUCCACCAAUCCCCAGGGGGAGAGGCUUCAAUGGGACCCAUGCCAUUUUCAUUCACUCUCCCCUCCCUCCUCCCCUCCUGCUCUAGUAAUGACAUUACUGCUGAACACUGAGGAACAGCUGGAUUGACCGCACAAAUGCAUGAGCAUAAAUCCCUAAUACACUGCAUGUAUUGUUGAGCGUUUACAGGUUUUAGAGUCAAAGAUGUUUGUAGUUAAAGCGUUGUGUUGUCAUUGCUAGCGUGUGAAGGAUGGUGGUUUUGGUGACAGAAUGUCCUCUUGUAAAUUAUGGUGAAAACACGAUUGUAUCAACAGCCUUCUGAAGAUGAACAGUAAAUUAAAAUGAUCACAUUUUAUACA
Molecule: long non-coding RNA, 1036 nt
Organism: Dicentrarchus labrax (European seabass)
Lineage: Eukaryota; Metazoa; Chordata; Actinopteri; Moronidae
Exons: 2
Source: RefSeq, a predicted model, not a curated record